Tachysurus vachellii is the source of this 855-nucleotide long non-coding RNA. RefSeq lists it as uncharacterized. Lineage: Eukaryota; Metazoa; Chordata; Actinopteri; Siluriformes; Bagridae. The record is from RefSeq and is a predicted model, not a curated record. The transcript has 3 exons.
AAAGUGCUGCUGGUCCGCAACAUGCCCUGCGUUUCUCCGGCUCUGUGGAGUCGCUUAGCCUUAGUUGGAGUUUCUCCGUGUUGGAGGAGGCGCUGGUUGGGAAACGCGCUCCGGAAAACUCCAAGAUCUGUGCGGGGAUCUCCUGCGCGUCUGGUGAGACCAAAUGAUAUCACGGAUCCAUGCGGAAUGUGUCUCUUUGCAAGUUACUCAAGGAAUACAAAACACUUGGUGAUUCCCUGCUGUGCGCGCUCACGGAGAAGGCUGCGCGUGACCGACCAUGUUGGCUCUUACAGGCAGUUUAAAGCGAAGCGAGUUCCCAGUGCAUCAGAGUACUUCCAUCCAUUGCUCUGAAAAGACUGUCUGGCAUGAAGCAUAACGACAGACAACUGAGGAGGCACGCAGGAUUCCCCAGACUCUGAAUUAGUGUGUUUCUUUAGACAAACUCACUUCUUCCUGACAAACAGAGGAAGCUUUUAGCCAGGGCUUGAGUUAAGGAAGAAGAAGAAAGGAUGUCAGUUCCUUAGUAGAAGCCAAUAACAAAAAAGAAACCCCUAGCCGCUUUUAAACUGUUACUGAAUUCUUGUUAGAUGAAAUGGUCAGUGUCCAUAUUUAAAUUCUAUCUAUCUAUCUGUCUGUCUGUCUGUCUGUCUGUUCGGUGUAUACAUCAAGUUGUAGAUGUACCGUGAGGGUUUCAUGGCAACCCAUGUUAUAAUAAAAAAGAAGAUUGGCUACUAUCCAAUAAAUGUCUAAGGUUGAAACUGUAACAGGUUCAUAGGGUUUUUCCAGCCACAAGUCUAGGCAACUUUCUCCUACUUGUUAAAUGAGCACACAGGAAAAACUUAAUAUAUUGGGGAA